Long non-coding RNA from Carya illinoinensis, 1036 nucleotides. RefSeq lists it as uncharacterized. The record is from RefSeq and is a predicted model, not a curated record. Lineage: Eukaryota; Viridiplantae; Streptophyta; Magnoliopsida; Fagales; Juglandaceae. The transcript is spliced from 2 exons.
AUGACCCUUUGCAGCUCUAGACAAACCAAAACAACAAAGAGCACACCCAGAACCCCAUCUCCAUUUUCUUGAUGUUUCGUCCACUUUCUUAGCAAUCCUAGUAACAAAACAAUAAAAACACACAAGAAAGGGUAGAGAGAGAGAGAGAGAGAGAGAGAGAGGUGUUACCGGAAUGCUGUCGAGAGUCAUUGUGCCUGAGAGCUUGAGGCUUGAAUAGAAAAGGUAGCGAAUUCAAAUCCUCUAAUCUCUUCACCUUCUUAGGUAUCCGAAUAACAAGAUCAAAGCGUGCAUUAACUGAAAUUUUUUGACGUGAUAUGUGCAGGCCUUCUACAAUCUACUACAAAUAAAUGUUUGGGGCUCUUUCUGCAAGGCUGACAUGAGGGAUUCUAGGGCGGACAGCUUUCACGAGCUCGAGACCACCCACUCGGAGUACUUCCCACCUCCCAGGAGAAAGAGAGAGCAAACAGGAGUUUUAAUUAAGGCGGUGAGAGAGAAAAAACUGCCGGAAAAAUCUAACGCACCGUUUAAGAUAAAUUAGGGACAUAAAAGACAAAUUGAGAGGGAUAAAAUUGUCAGAUAAAAAUCAGACAUUGAGGCUUUUAUCUCAACUUUCCUGACAAUUGUAAAUCCCUCUCAACUUUCCUCACAAAACCACUCUCCUUCUUUUGAACUAAGAAUCGCAAAACAUCCCAUUGACGAUUUUGAAAACCCCAAUUGCAGAAUAUGUUUUUGACGGUGACGCAGGUUCUUCUUCUUCUUCUUAGAUGUGAUUUUCCCCAUCUCAAUCUUGCGACCCUUUAUCUCAGUCCCGCAAUGGUAUGAGACCAUACACGAAACUACGUCCAAAGAUCUAUGAGAGAGAGAGAGGCGAAAUGCAAAUUUUUGAAUGGUCCGGCUGUAAUGUUACUUCUCAAGUUGUAACCUUUGUAAUGACCUUUGUAAAUUAACCUUUGUAAUGGAAAGUUGUGUAAUGAAAACAGCUUAGCAAUUGGUUUGGAUUAAACAAUGAUAUAAUGAAAAGUUGUAUAAAUUAACA